Molecule: long non-coding RNA, 239 nt
Filed under: Elaeis guineensis (African oil palm)
Lineage: Eukaryota; Viridiplantae; Streptophyta; Magnoliopsida; Arecales; Arecaceae
Description: long non-coding RNA (EGUI_LNC005539)
Source: RNAcentral
CUCCUCCUCCGUCUCCGAUCUUUUCAUCCUAUUCUACUGUCCAUCGGUGAUUCUUCUUUAUUUUGGACGUCAAAAAUCAGAUCAAAAUCCGUCAAAAAGUCAAGUAAAUCUCUUCAAUCCUCCUCUUUCAAUCUGCUAUGAAUAAUUAAUAUUUAAAAUAUAUUAAUUUUUAAUAAAUUUUUUUUUAUUUGCCUCAGGCCUAAAAAAUAUCAGGAUCGGUCCUGGCCACCACUCAAGGU